Molecule: small nuclear RNA, 104 nt
Filed under: Canis lupus familiaris (dog)
Lineage: Eukaryota; Metazoa; Chordata; Mammalia; Carnivora; Canidae
Also listed under: 1 other name
Source: RNAcentral
GUGCUCACUUCAGCAGCACAUAUACUAAAAUUGGAACAAUACAGAGAUUAGCAUGGCCCCUGUGCAAGGAUGACACGCAAAUUCGUGAAGCAUUCCAUAUUUUU